AUUGAAACUCCGGUUCCUGUACGAUCACCGAAGUUAAGCAACUUAGCAACUGGGAAGUACUUAGAUGGGUGACCACUUGG
This is a non-coding RNA of Acanthosepion pharaonis, 80 nucleotides long. Lineage: Eukaryota; Metazoa; Mollusca; Cephalopoda; Sepiida; Sepiidae. The record is from the annotation of a GenBank genome assembly.